AGUGAACGCGGGCGGCGUGCCUAAUACAUGCAAGUCGAACGAUGAAGUCCUAGCUUGCUAGGAUGGAUUAGUGGCGCACGGGUGAGUAAUAUAUAGUUAAUCUGCCCUACACAGAGGAACAACAGUUGGAAACGGCUGCUAAUACCUCAUACUCCUAUUUGACAUAAGUUAAAUAGGGAAAGUCUUUUCGGUGUAGGAUGAGACUAUAUCGUAUCAGCUAGUUGGUAAGGUAAUGGCUUACCAAGGCUAUGACGCGUAACUGGUCUGAGAGGAUGAUCAGUCACAUUGGAACUGAGACACGGUCCAAACUCCUACGGGAGGCAGCAGUAAGGAAUAUUGCGCAAUGGGGGAAACCCUGACGCAGCAACGCCGCGUGGAGGAUGACACUUUUCGGAGCGUAAACUCCUUUUAUCAGGAAAGAAUAAUGACGGUACCUGAUGAAUAAGCACCGGCUAACUCCGUGCCAGCAGCCGCGGUAAUACGGGGGGUGCAAGCGUUACUCGGAAUCACUGGGCGUAAAGGACGCGUAGGCGGAUUAUCAAGUCUUUUGUGAAAUCUAGUGGCUUAACCACUAAACUGCUUAGGAAACUGAUAGUCUAGAGUAGGGGAGAGGUAGAUGGAAUUCUUGGUGUAGGGGUAAAAUCCGUAGAGAUCAAGAAGAAUACCCAUUGCGAAAGCGAUCUGCUGGAACCUAACUGACGCUGAGGCGUGAAAGCGUGGGUAGCAAACAGG
Molecule: ribosomal RNA, 732 nt
Filed under: uncultured Campylobacter sp.
Lineage: Bacteria; Pseudomonadati; Campylobacterota; Epsilonproteobacteria; Campylobacterales; Campylobacteraceae
Description: bacterial SSU rRNA
Rfam family: Bacterial small subunit ribosomal RNA
Source: RNAcentral